UGCUUCAGCUGCGAGAUGUCC
Molecule: unclassified non-coding RNA, 21 nt
Filed under: Chlamydomonas reinhardtii
Lineage: Eukaryota; Viridiplantae; Chlorophyta; Chlorophyceae; Chlamydomonadales; Chlamydomonadaceae
Description: small RNA Cre_3205
Source: RNAcentral